ACCCACCUGCACCGUCAGGCCUUCUGGAAAGAGAAGGAGAUCCGACUGACGGAGCGUCUCCAAACUUCCAAGCAAAUAUUACCUCGUUAAAGCCCAGUGCCACAUGACUGACCUGGAGCCACAGCCUGCCCUCCUUCCCUGGGCCUACAGGAAGGGGGAGGUUCCUGUCACCAGAACCGUUCCGUCAUCAGCCGGGCAGAUGCUCGCUGUGGAUUCUAGGUCCCGGUUCUGGCGGAUUUGGCCCAGGCACCCCCAGCCCCCAGAUCUGGCCGGGUGCGGCGGCUCAUGCCUGUAAUCCCAGCACUUUGGGAGGCCGAAGCAGGUGGAUCACAUGAAGUCAGAAGUUGGAGACUAGCCUGGCCAACAUGCCAGCCUCCAGCAUCGCCUCCUCUGGGAUCUUCUCUGACUUCCCAGUCGGUUUCAGAAGCCUCUGAUGACCCCAUGCGGAGAAGACUGCUCCCCUCACUGCUGGCACACGGCAGAUGCUCAGUAAGUAUCGUUCAAUGACUGACUAAAUGUCUCAUAAUAUCCUUCAUAAACAAGGGCCUGGUGUGGAUUCAUAAAUGGGUCUCUCAAAGUUUAAUUGGUGAGACUCUGUUGUAUCAGACAAUGAAGGGUUAAAAGAUAAUAUUCAAAAAAGUAAAAUCAUGACACACAAAUCUAGAAUGAACACACAUUGAUAAGGUUUGGAUCUGUGUCCUCACCCAAACCUCAUGUCGAACUGGGAUCCCCCGUGUCAGAGGCGGCCGCGUGGGAGGUGACCGGAUCGCGGGUGGACCCUUCAUGAAGGGUUCAGCACCAUCCCCUUGGUGCUGUCCUGGGACAGAGUUCUCUUGCGAUCUGGUUGUUUAAACGUGUGUGGCCCCUUCCCCCUCUCUUUUCCUCCUCCUCCUGCCGUGGGAGACACUUGCUCCAGCUUCGCCUUCCGCCGCGAGUUGAAGCUCCCCGAGGCCUCCUCAGAAGCAGAAGCCACCACGCUUCCUGUACAGCCUGUGGGACCCGGAGCCAGUUCAACCUCUUUUCUUUAUAAAUUACCCAGACUCGGCCGGGCACGGUGGCUCACGCCUGUAAUCCCAGCACUUUGUUGAGACCGAGGCAGGCAGAUCACGAGGUCAGGAGAUCGAGAACAUCCUGGCUAACACGGUGAAACCCCGUCUCUACUAAAAAUACAAAAAAUUAGCCGGGCGUGGUGGCGGGCGCCUGUGGUCCCAGCUACUCGGGAGGCUGAGGCAGGAGAAUGGUGUGAACCCGGGAGGCGGAGCUUGCAGUGAGCCGAGAUCCCGCCACUGCACUCCAGCCUGGGCAGCAGAGCGAGACUCCAUCUCAACAAAUAAUAAUAAUAAAAUAAAUAAAUAAAUAAAUAAAUAAAUAAAUAAAUUGCCCAGACUCAGGUAUUUCUGGAUAGCGAUGCGAGAAUGGACUAAUACACGUGUUAAGUCAAAAGUUUUAUUUAACUUAUUAAUUCAUGAGGGAAGCAGGAAGAUAUUAAAACUGGUUCAAAGGAAAAUCCACAGGUUUAGGCAAUCGAGCUGAAACGAACUUGCUAAUACAGUCGUCCCCCGUAUCCCCGACUUGAGUUGUCUGUGCUCAACUGCAGAAAACAGGUGAGUACAGCACAGUAAGAUACCUUGAGAGAGAGGGAGAUCCCACAUUCACAUAAUUUUUAUCACCAUAGAUUGUUGUAAUUGCUGUUUAUGAUUGGUGAUUGUUAAUCUCUUACUGUGCCUAUUUUACAAAUUAAACUUUAUCAAAGGGCUGUACAUAUAGGACAAAACAUAGUCUAUACAGGGUUCAACACUAUCCAAGGUUUCAGGCAUCCACUGGAGUGCUUGGAACGCAUCCCCCAAGUCAUCACCAAACCAGCCAAUAUCCACAGGGCCUGAAACCUCCCCUUUGGAUUCUCUCUUCCAUUGGUGGAAAUCAGCCGUGUCUCCACUGACAAGUGUCCUUGCACCUCCGUGGGCUCCUGUGUGUGGCCGUCACCUUUCUGGUGUGCAGGGAACUGUCUCACAGCUCCAUUAAAGAUGAGGAAGGCGCCGAUCACUGCAGCACCAGAGAACCCAGGGGUUCGCCUGGCCCCCCACUGAAAGGAUGCCCAGAAACCUCCUCACCCAUUUUAAUGUCUUUCCCACAUUUUCCUGAUGAAGACUCAGCACAGACGCUCACAGCAUCAUUGGGCACAACUGGGUCUGGUGGCAGAAGGCCCGGAGGGUGCACGGCCCCCUCCUGAGGCAGGUGUGCGGUGCUGGGGAAAGGCGGAGCACGAGGGCUGAGCUCUGGCCGUGGGACCCA
Molecule: long non-coding RNA, 2292 nt
Filed under: Homo sapiens (human)
Lineage: Eukaryota; Metazoa; Chordata; Mammalia; Primates; Hominidae
Description: HSALNT0392287
Source: RNAcentral